AUACAUUUCUCAGCAUUUUGGCUAAGAUCAAGUAUAGUAUCUGAUUUUAUCAAUUUAAUAUCUGAUAUAUGGACUAUUGGUUCACAUGAUACGCUAUUUUUAAGUUAGAAACUCACAUUAAAAUAGCUUAUCUGAGUUUUCACAAGUGGUCUAAGCGUUGCUUAUAUUAUUGCACGGAUAUGGCUCAUUCCCA
This is a small nuclear RNA of Arabidopsis thaliana (thale cress), 193 nucleotides long. It matches the Rfam family "U2 spliceosomal RNA". From Rfam's summary of the family: U2 is a small nuclear RNA (snRNA) component of the spliceosome (involved in pre-mRNA splicing). Complementary binding between U2 snRNA (in an area lying towards the 5' end but 3' to hairpin I) and the branchpoint sequence (BPS) of the intron results the bulging out of an unpaired adenosine, on the BPS, which initiates a nucleophilic attack at the intronic 5' splice site, thus starting the first of two transesterification reactions that mediate splicing. The record is from Rfam. Lineage: Eukaryota; Viridiplantae; Streptophyta; Magnoliopsida; Brassicales; Brassicaceae.